AAGUCGUAACAAGGUUUCCGUAGGUGAACCUGCGGAAGGAUCAUUAACAAAAAUUGAAUCUCUUUUCUAAAAUGAUCCAUAUAGAGUGUGUGUGGUUUGCUUUUUUCGUAACAGAAGAAGAGUAUUCCCACCCACUUUUAUGGUAUCAAACCCCAUUUUGAUGAACUUUUAGACGGUUUUAAGUGAAGUUACUACAUUUGAAGUACUUCACUUAGAUCAUCUAUAUAUUUUUAUACCUUAAAAAUUUAUUUUUUAAAACCCCUUUUUUUACAACAUGUCUUUGACUGAAAUGAAAAAUUUUUAUCUUAUAAAAAAAUGAUAAAAACAACUCUUAGCAACGGAUAUCUUGGCUCUC
RNAcentral lists this unclassified non-coding RNA (355 nucleotides) under fungal sp. Its description in RNAcentral is "partial internal transcribed spacer region". The stretch from base 1 to 46 matches the Rfam family "Eukaryotic small subunit ribosomal RNA", at positions 1786 to 1831 of the family's 1831-position model. The record is from RNAcentral. Lineage: Eukaryota; Fungi.